GACGAACGCUGGCGGCGUGCUUAACACAUGCAAGUCGAACGGAAAGGCCCUGCUUUUGUGGGGUGCUCGAGUGGCGAACGGGUGAGUAACACGUGAGUAACCUGCCCUUGACUUUGGGAUACCUCAGGAAACUGGGGCUAAUACCGGAUAGGAGCUCCUGCUGCAUGGUGGGGGGUGGGAAGUUUCGGCGGUUGGGGAUGGACUCGCGGCUUAUCAGCUUGUUGGUGGGGUAGUGGCUUACCAAGGCUUUGACGGGUAGCCGGCCUGAGAGGGUGACCAGCCACAUUGGGACUGAGAUACGGCCCAGACUCCUACGGGAGGCAGCAGUGGGGAAUAUUGCACAAUGGGCGGAAGCCUGAUGCAGCAACGCCGCGUGCGGGAUGACGGCCUUCGGGUUGUAAACCGCUUUCGCCUGUGACGAAGCGUGAGUGACGGUAAUGGGUAAAGAAGCACCGGCUAACUACGUG
This 467-nucleotide ribosomal RNA is filed under the name uncultured bacterium. RNAcentral's name for it is "partial 16S ribosomal RNA". It matches the Rfam family "Bacterial small subunit ribosomal RNA", at positions 28 to 507 of the family's 1533-position model. The record is from RNAcentral.